This 1070-nucleotide long non-coding RNA is filed under the name Bos indicus x Bos taurus (hybrid cattle). RNAcentral's name for it is "lncRNA (ENSBIXG00005017767.1)". The record is from RNAcentral. Lineage: Eukaryota; Metazoa; Chordata; Mammalia; Artiodactyla; Bovidae.
GGAAAUAAAGACUAACACAAGAGGGAGGGGCCCUGAGGAGGGGGUGUUGGUGGGAGCGGCGGGGCUGUGACGGGGACUCUUGGCCUUGAGUCCAGCUGGAUGGCUUGGCCUGGGUUUGCUUGAUUUGCCUUCUCUUAUCCAGCAGGCUGCAAGAUGUUGAUUGGGGAACGUAAUAUCCAUCUUCUCAGCUCACAGAACCGGGAGGUGGGGGUGGGGUAAGGGGGUGCACAUCCAGAGUGCUCUGGUCUGCCCUUCUUCCCUUUUGGGGGAUCAAGUCUGGAAUUAGGGUGCUCCCUCCUGCUCCAGUGACCCACUCCUGUCGCAAACUAAUCCUCCUUCCCCAUGGAUGACUCUUGGAUUGUUUCCUGGGCCAGCCGGAGGCAGAAUUGAGAACUGGGCACCUUCCUGCCUCACCUCUCAGCCUGCUGUCCGGCCUGGGCACCGAUUGGUGUCAAUAUUCCCAAGGGGCCUGAUGGAUGACGUUCCUGGCCAGUAGGUCCCCCAACUUCUCCGCCAGGGUCCAUUCUGCAGUGUCUCUCCUGAGGUUCGCAGGUUGACAGUGGCUAUGUGGAGAAGGCAAUGUCCGGAGACCAAGGAUGUUGGUUGACCUCUGGAGGAAACCUGCUCAUCAUUCUUGGGUCUGCAAGUGAACAGACUCCAAAAACUCAGUGGUCAUCUAUCCUGGAAUUCGAUUUCUUCCUCCUCAGCCAACUUCUGAUGCUCUGCCACUUCCUUUUCUGCAGGCUGCAAAAACCUCAUGGACCCUGGAGAGAGAUGCAUGAGUUUUCACUGCAUUGUGGAUGCCAGCAGCCCUUGGUGCUCCUUGGAGAUGAAAACCAGAAAGCUUCGCUUUCCUAUCAGCCCUUUCAAGCUGCCUCAGAGGAAACUCAUCUCACCGAGCGAGCAUCCCAAUUUCAAGAUGAAGUGUUUAAUUUACCUGAAGGGGUGGUCUUAGAUGACAUUCCCCUGGCCAGGGCGCUCACUUUGCACAUCCAUAAAAUGGGGCCUGCGAUACUGACCUCACGUGGUUGUUGUGUGAAGAAUAAAUGAGGACCAUAAAUUGGGAAAUC